Molecule: unclassified non-coding RNA, 289 nt
Filed under: uncultured fungus
Lineage: Eukaryota; Fungi
Description: sequence contains ITS1, 5.8S rRNA gene
Rfam family: 5.8S ribosomal RNA (bases 241-289)
Source: RNAcentral
UCUCCGUUGGUGAACCAGCGGAGGGAUCAUUGCUGGAACACGUCCCCCCGGGCGUACCCAGAAACCCUUUUUGAUCUUAUAAGAACCCAUCCUUUCCUCGGCCAGGCCGGGGGACAUCACGUCCCCCCCGCGCCUCCCGGUCCGCCGGGAAGAGCGGCGCAGGUCUGCCGGCGGCCCUUCUAUAAACUCUUGUUUACCUUACGUAUUACCUCUGAGUAUAUAACAAAACAAAUGAAUCAAAACUUUCAACAACGGAUCUCUUGGUUCUGGCAUCGAUGAAGAACGCAGC